RNAcentral lists this ribosomal RNA (245 nucleotides) under SAR86 cluster bacterium. Its description in RNAcentral is "partial 16S ribosomal RNA". It matches the Rfam family "Bacterial small subunit ribosomal RNA", at positions 1 to 231 of the family's 1533-position model. The record is from RNAcentral. Lineage: Bacteria; Pseudomonadati; Pseudomonadota; Gammaproteobacteria.
GUAACACAACAUGAUAUUAAUUGAAGAGUUUGAUCAUGGCUCAGAUUGAACGCUGGCGGUAGGCUUAACACAUGCAAGUCGUGCGAGAAAGUAUCUUCGGAUAUGAGUAGAGCGGCGGACGGGUGAGUAACGCGUAGGAAUCUACCUAGUAGAAGGGGAUAGCCCGGGGAAACCCGGAUUAAUACCGUAUACCUCCUUCGGGAGAAAGAAGGCCUCUCUUUGAAGCUUUCGCUAUUAGAUGAGCC